This 109-nucleotide transfer RNA is filed under the name Ceratocystis platani. It matches the Rfam family "tRNA". Rfam says of the family: Transfer RNA (tRNA) molecules are approximately 80 nucleotides in length. Their secondary structure includes four short double-helical elements and three loops (D, anti-codon, and T loops). The record is from Rfam by way of RNAcentral. Lineage: Eukaryota; Fungi; Ascomycota; Sordariomycetes; Microascales; Ceratocystidaceae.
GGGGUGGUGGCGCAGUUGGGAGCGCGUUAGACUGAAGCUACAAACUUCAGCCGUUCUCCGUACGGAGAAAGUCAUCUAAAGGUCACUGGUUCAAUCCCUGUUCACCCCA